UACGUAGGGUGCAAGCGUUAAUCGGAAUUACUGGGCGUAAAGCGUGCGCAGGCGGUUUUGUAAGUCUGUCGUGAAAUCCCCCGGGCUCAACCUGGGAAUUGCGAUGGAGACUGCAAGGCUAGAAUCUGGCAGAGGGGGGUAGAAUUCCAUGUGUAGCAGUGAAAUGCGUAGAGAUGUGGAGGAACACCGAUGGCGAAGGCAGCCCCCUGGGUCAAGAUUGACGCUCAUGCACGAAAGCGUGGGGAGCAAACAGG
This 254-nucleotide ribosomal RNA is filed under the name uncultured bacterium. Its description in RNAcentral is "partial 16S ribosomal RNA". It matches the Rfam family "Bacterial small subunit ribosomal RNA", at positions 524 to 776 of the family's 1533-position model. The record is from RNAcentral.